AGCCAGACUCCUACGGGAGGCAGCAGUGGGGGAUAUUGCACAAUGGGGGGAACCCUGAUGCAGCGACGCCGCGUGGGUGAAGAAGCGCCUCGGCGCGUAAAGCCCUGUCAGCAGGAAAGAAAAUGACGGUACCUGACUAAGAAGCCCCGGCUAACUACGUGCCAGCAGCCGCGGUAAUACGUAGGGGGCAAGCGUUAUCCGGAUUUACUGGGUGUAAAGGGAGCGUAGACGGCAGUGCAAGUCCGGAGUGAAAGCCCGGGGCUCAACCCUGGGACUGCUCUGGAAACUGUAAAGCUGGAGUGCGGGAGGGGCAGGCGGAAUUCCUGGUGUAGCGGUGAAAUGCGUAGAUAUCAGGAGGAACACCGGCGGCGAAGGCGGCCUGCUGGACCGUAACUGACGUUGAGGCUCGAAAGCGUGGGGAGCAAACAGGAUUAGAUACCCGAGUAC
This 447-nucleotide ribosomal RNA is filed under the name uncultured bacterium. RNAcentral's name for it is "partial 16S ribosomal RNA". It matches the Rfam family "Bacterial small subunit ribosomal RNA", at positions 329 to 793 of the family's 1533-position model. The record is from RNAcentral.